AUGCUCUAUCUCUGUUCAUCUACCAGCAGGUGUCAGUGUGUUCAUCAAACAGAUGAGACGCUUACAGCUCAGAGGUGUGAAGCUACUCACCCAGAGCCACACAGCUCUAAGGGAGGAGGUUCUGCUCAGAUCUGCCCGGGAGGCAGCAGGAGGAGCACAGGUGGGCCACCGGCUACCCAGGACCCUCAGGCUCCCACAGGGUGGCCCCCUGAAGGCAGGCGGAUUGCUGGAGCUGACGAAGUCCUGGAAGACUUUCCCUCAUGGCUGUGCUUCCCCGUCCUUCUUGCUCUAAUGAGCAGCUGCCCCUCUCCACCAUCCCCUGCAGAAGAGUCAGGAACUCGUUGUUCAACAAAGGAGCGUUUGGUUUCUGUCCUGAGGCUUGCUGGGAUCCUGAAGGAGCACUGCCACUCCCUUUGUGUCCCAGGAGGUAAAGCUAGAUUCUUCCAGUGAAGAUCCAAUCAAAUGGUCAUGUCUUCCUGGAGCAGAAGUCGAUGUGGGAGCGUCCACAAGUGAGAAGAGCCCACCUGUCAAGCCCCAGCCUGAACAUAAGGUGAAGGUGCGUUCAGUGAGCCAGAGAACUUGCCUGCAGCGAACCUCCAGCACCACACGCAGGAGGUGCUGCAGGAGGGCUCACCUUUGGAGGCAAUGUCACCUUCUGACUGUACUCUCCAGAGACUUCCAACCGCACCACACAGUGCCUCUCAUCUUUCCCGUUUUCUUCCUGUAAUAUUCUCCGACAGAGUCAGGUAAACCUGGCACUCACUCGCAGGAAUUUCCAUAGAGCCCCUGGGCAGAGAAAAGAAGCAGUGCUCUGCUGAGACCUUCCUCUGGACCGCGUCUGGUUUCUCGAGAACCACACUAUCACUGGGGUGUAGAGGAACAAGGGACCUGGGGAAGGUCCCCUGGGCAUCAGGAGGCUCAUCUCACAGUGGCUGAGCUCCCACGGCCAUCACAUGACACCAUUUGCGAGUAGAUGAUGUAAAUGGUUUCAACACACAAGGUUUUUUGGGAGUCACCCCAGCCCAUUGGCCCUAUUGUAUGCACGGCAUUCUCCGCCCUUCCCCCCAGCCUUUAUUGAAGGAGCUACGGGGUGGUCAGCACGUUUGAGACUUUAAAUCUGAGAUCUAGUCUUUCAUGAAUUCAUGGCAUGUCUGCCAAGUCAAAUGCAAAACUGUCCACAUGCACAUCCACUUGACUUUGACCAGACUAGACUAUUCACUGCUCCCUAAACUUGCUCUAUGCUUUGCUGCCUCUGUGGUGGCUCCCAGGGAGGGAGAAGAGUUGUGUCUGAGUCUCUGCUCCAGCCCACGAACCCGAUGCCGUCCUGUGACUCCCGGUGAGUCCCUCAGGCCCAACUCUUAUCCCUUCUUGGCACACCUCCCCCUGCCUUUCUAUCGAUAUCCCCCCUUUUUUCCUAUAGUGGAUGAAGUACAAUAUCAAAUAAAGUGUGCACAACACAGGGGUGUUUGUAGGAA
RNAcentral lists this long non-coding RNA (1475 nucleotides) under Felis catus (domestic cat). RNAcentral describes it as "lncRNA (ENSFCAG00000041484.2)". The record is from RNAcentral. Lineage: Eukaryota; Metazoa; Chordata; Mammalia; Carnivora; Felidae.